This 564-nucleotide ribosomal RNA is filed under the name uncultured Glomeromycotina. Its description in RNAcentral is "SSU rRNA". It matches the Rfam family "Eukaryotic small subunit ribosomal RNA", at positions 548 to 1114 of the family's 1831-position model. Lineage: Eukaryota; Fungi; Glomeromycota. The record is from RNAcentral.
UUGGAGGGCAAGUCUGGUGCCAGCAGCCGCGGUAAUUCCAGCUCCAAUAGCGUAUAUUAAAGUUGUUGCAGUUAAAAAGCUCGUAGUUGAAUUUCGGGGUCAGUAGGUUGGUCAUGCCACUGGUAUGUACUGGUCUCACUGAUUCUUCCUUCCUGAUGAGCCGUAAUGCCAUUAAUUUGGUGUUGCGAGGAAUCUGGACUGUUACUUUGAAAAAAUUAGAGUGUUUAAAGCAAGCUAACGCUUGAAUACAUUAGCAUGGAAUAAUGAAAUAGGACGUUCGAUCCUAUUUUGUUGGGUCCUAGGAUUGACGUAAUGAUUAAUAGGGAUAGCUGGGGGCAUUAGUAUUCAAUUGUCAGAGGUGAAAUUCUUGGAUUUAUUGAAGACUAACUACUGCGAAAGCAUUUGCCAAGGAUGUUUUCAUUAAUCAAGAACGAAAGUUAGGGGAUCGAAGACGAUCAGAUACCGUCGUAGUCUUAACCAUAAACUAUGCCGACUAGGGAUCGGAUGAUGUUAAUUUUUUAAUGACUCAUUCGGCGCCUUACGGAAACCAAAGUGUUUGGGUUC